UACGUAGGGUGCAAGCGUUGUCCGGAAUUAUUGGGCGUAAAGAGCUCGUAGGCGGUUUGUCGCGUCGGCUGUGAAAACCUGGGGCUCAACCCCGGGCCUGCAGCCGAUACGGGCAAACUAGAGUUCGGCAGGGGAGACUGGAAUUCCUGGUGUAGCGGUGAAAUGCGCAGAUAUCAGGAGGAACACCGGUGGCGAAGGCGGGUCUCUGGGCCGAUACUGACGCUGAGGAGCGAAAGCGUGGGGAGCAAACAGG
Molecule: ribosomal RNA, 253 nt
Filed under: uncultured bacterium
Lineage: Bacteria
Description: partial 16S ribosomal RNA
Rfam family: Bacterial small subunit ribosomal RNA
Source: RNAcentral